This 76-nucleotide transfer RNA is filed under the name Candidatus Nomurabacteria bacterium RIFCSPHIGHO2_01_FULL_41_71. RNAcentral describes it as "tRNA-Met". It matches the Rfam family "tRNA". From Rfam's summary of the family: Transfer RNA (tRNA) molecules are approximately 80 nucleotides in length. Their secondary structure includes four short double-helical elements and three loops (D, anti-codon, and T loops). RNAcentral also lists the same sequence under 2 other names. The record is from RNAcentral. Lineage: Bacteria; Candidatus Nomuraibacteriota.
GUCGGGGUAGCUCAGUUGGUAGAGCACGGGACUCAUAAGCCCGGGGUCGUGGGAUCAUUCCCCACCCCCGACACUA